Molecule: ribosomal RNA, 616 nt
Filed under: uncultured bacterium
Lineage: Bacteria
Description: bacterial SSU rRNA
Rfam family: Bacterial small subunit ribosomal RNA
Source: RNAcentral
ACGGGUGAGUAACACGUGGGCAACCUGCCCAAAAGAGGGGGAUAACACUUGGAAACAGGUGCUAAUACCGCAUAACCAUAGUUACCGCAUGGUAACUAUGUAAAAGGUGGCUAUGCUACCGCUUUUGGAUGGGCCCGCGGCGCAUUAGCUAGUUGGUGGGGUAAAGGCUUACCAAGGCAAUGAUGCGUAGCCGAACUGAGAGGUUGAUCGGCCACAUUGGGACUGAGACACGGCCCAAACUCCUACGGGAGGCAGCAGUAGGGAAUCUUCCACAAUGGGCGAAAGCCUGAUGGAGCAACGCCGCGUGGGUGAAGAAGGUCUUCGGAUCGUAAAACCCUGUUGUUAGAGAAGAAAGUGCGUGAGAGUAACUGUUCACGUUUCGACGGUAUCUAACCAGAAAGCCACGGCUAACUACGUGCCAGCAGCCGCGGUAAUACGUAAGUGGCAAGCGUUAUCCGGAUUUAUUGGGCGUAAAGGGAACGCAGGCGGUCUUUUAAGUCUGAUGUGAAAGCCUUCGGCUUAACCGGAGUAGUGCAUUGGAAACUGGGAGACUUGAGUGCAGAAGAGGAGAGUGGAACUCCAUGUGUAGCGGUGAAAUGCGUAGAUAUAUGGAAGA